Molecule: ribosomal RNA, 375 nt
Filed under: candidate division GN15 bacterium
Lineage: Bacteria
Description: bacterial SSU rRNA
Rfam family: Bacterial small subunit ribosomal RNA
Source: RNAcentral
AUUUACGGAGAGUUUGAUCCUGGCUCAGAACGAACGCUGGCGGCGUGCUUAAUACAUGCAAGUCGAACGAGAAAUUCCGGCUUCGGUUGGAAGAGUAAAGUGGCGAACGGGUGAGUAACACGUGGACAACUUGCCCUUGGAUCUGGGAUAAUCUCCCGAAAGGGGGUCUAAUACCGGGUAACAUCUCCUGGCGGCAUCGUCGGGAGAUCAAAGGCGGAGCAAUCUGCCGUCCAAGGAUGGGUCCGCGGUCCAUUAGCUUGUUGGCGGGGUAACGGCCCACCAAGGCGACGAUGGAUAGCCGGCCUGAGAGGGUGAUCGGCCACACUGGGACUGAGAUACGGCCCAGACUCCUACGGGAGGCAGCAGUAGGGAAUA